GAGUGAUGAAGGUUUUCGGAUCGUAAAGCUCUGUUUUUAGGGAAGAACAAGUGCCGUUCAAAUAGGGCGGCACCUUGACGGUACCUAACCAGAAAGCCACGGCUAACUACGUGCCAGCAGCCGCGGUAAUACGUAGGUGGCAAGCGUUGUCCGGAAUUAUUGGGCGUAAAGGGCUCGCAGGCGGUUUCUUAAGUCUGAUGUGAAAGCCCCCGGCUCAACCGGGGAGGGUCAUUGGAAACUGGGGAACUUGAGUGCAGAAGAGGAGAGUGGAAUUCCACGUGUAGCGGUGAAAUGCGUAGAGAUGUGGAGGAACACCAGUGGCGAAGGCGACUCUCUGGUCUGUAACUGACGCUGAGGAGCGAAAGCGUGGGGAGCGAACAGGAUUAGAUACCCUGGUAGUCCACGCCGUAAACGAUGAGUGCUAAGUGUUAGGGGGUUUCCGCCCCUUAGUGCUGCAGCUAACGCAUUAAGCACUCCGCCUGGGGAGUACGGUCGCAAGACUGAAACUCAAGGAAUUGACGGGGGCCCGCACAAGCGGUGGAGCAUGUGGUUUAAUUCGAAGCAACGCGAAGAACCUUACCAGGUCUUGACAUCCUCUGACAAUCCUAGAGAUAGGACGUCCCCUUCGGGGGCAGAGUGACAGGUGCUGCAUGGCCUUCGGUCAGCAA
RNAcentral lists this ribosomal RNA (668 nucleotides) under Bacillus amyloliquefaciens. Its description in RNAcentral is "bacterial SSU rRNA". It matches the Rfam family "Bacterial small subunit ribosomal RNA", at positions 401 to 1061 of the family's 1533-position model. The record is from RNAcentral. Lineage: Bacteria; Bacillati; Bacillota; Bacilli; Caryophanales; Bacillaceae.